RNAcentral lists this long non-coding RNA (458 nucleotides) under Carica papaya (papaya). Its description in RNAcentral is "long non-coding RNA (CPAP_LNC005567)". The record is from RNAcentral. Lineage: Eukaryota; Viridiplantae; Streptophyta; Magnoliopsida; Brassicales; Caricaceae.
UUUGGAUAAUGAUUUUCAUGCCUAAAAAAUGGUUAGUGUAAAAUAAAAAAAGAUUGAAGGAAAAUAGGGGAAAAAAGAUGAAAAAGAUAAAACCUUUUACCUAGUUUGCUUCGGUCUCUGCUAUCACACAGCGUCUCGGCCCGAUUUCUCUUCCUUCUUCUUCCUCUCAGCUUCGGCUUUCACCACUCUCCCGCCUCCACCACUUUUUUCUUUUUUUUUCCCUUGCGGCGGUCGUUCUCCGCUCCCCCUUAAUUCUCCCACUUGGCUACUCUUCUCCUCAUCUCAUUUCUUCUUCUUUGACCUCCCUCUUCCUUUCCUUUCUUUCUCUAUUCCUCUUGGCUCCCCCACUUGACAGAUAUCUUCUCUUUUGUCUCACCCGAUCGGCUCCUCUCUCAUCCUCUCUCUCUUUUUCAGCUUCUCUCCCAAAUGAAAAAACCCUAAUCUUUUUCCCUUUUAUA